GGCCAAGUUUUUAAGGGCGCACGGUGGAUGCCUUGGCACCAGGAACCGAUGAAGGACGUGGGAGGCCACGAUAGUCCCCGGGGAGCUGUCAACCAAGCUUUGAUCCGGGGGUUUCCGAAUGGGGAAACCCGGCAGUCGUCAUGGGCUGUCACCCGCUGCUGAACACAUAGGCAGUGUGGAGGGAACGAGGGGAAGUGAAACAUCUCAGUACCCUCAGGAAGAGAAAACAACCGUGAUUCCGGGAGUAGUGGCGAGCGAAACUGGAUGAGGCCAAACCGUAUGCGUGUGAUACCCGGCAGGGGUUGCGUAUGCGGGGUUGUGGGAG
RNAcentral lists this ribosomal RNA (325 nucleotides) under Streptomyces cavourensis. RNAcentral describes it as "partial 23S ribosomal RNA". It matches the Rfam family "Bacterial large subunit ribosomal RNA", at positions 1 to 306 of the family's 2925-position model. The record is from RNAcentral. Lineage: Bacteria; Bacillati; Actinomycetota; Actinomycetes; Kitasatosporales; Streptomycetaceae.